GUUGACCUCGGAUCAGGUAGGAAUACCCGCUGAACUUAAGCAUAUCAAUAAGCGGAGGAAUU
Molecule: ribosomal RNA, 62 nt
Filed under: Colletotrichum sp. 3393
Lineage: Eukaryota; Fungi; Ascomycota; Sordariomycetes; Glomerellales; Glomerellaceae
Description: partial 28S ribosomal RNA
Rfam family: Eukaryotic large subunit ribosomal RNA
Source: RNAcentral